UACGGGGGGGGCAAGCGUUGUUCGGAAUUACUGGGCGUAAAGGGCUCGUAGGCGGCCAACUAAGUCGGAUGUGAAAUCCCCAGGCUCAACUUGGGAACUGCAUCCGAUACUGGAUGGCUUGAAUUCGGGAGAGGGAUGCAGAAUUCCAGGUGUAGCGGUGAAAUGCGUAGAUAUAGGGAAGAACACCAAUCAGGCGAAGGCAGUUAACUAUUCUAUUCCUGACAUUGAGGCAUGAAAGCGUGGGGAGCAAAACGG
Molecule: ribosomal RNA, 255 nt
Filed under: uncultured bacterium
Lineage: Bacteria
Description: partial 16S ribosomal RNA
Rfam family: Bacterial small subunit ribosomal RNA
Source: RNAcentral